This 1716-nucleotide ribosomal RNA is filed under the name seawater metagenome. Its description in RNAcentral is "bacterial LSU rRNA". It matches the Rfam family "Bacterial large subunit ribosomal RNA", at positions 287 to 1977 of the family's 2925-position model. The record is from RNAcentral.
CGUCGGCAGCGUCAGAUGUGUAUAAGAGACAGGCCUGCAAGUGAUAGCAGAAGUGUUAGUGGAACAGUCUGGAAAGUCUGGCAAUAGAGGGUGAUAGCCCCGUACACGAAAACACAUCUGUGGUACUAAGCUUGCGUAAAGUAGGUCGGGACACGAGUUAUCUUGACUGAACAUGGGGGGACCAUCCUCCAAGGCUAAAUACUACUAACUGACCGAUAGUGAACCAGUACCGUGAGGGAAAGGCGAAAAGAACCCCGGCGAGGGGAGUGAAAUAGAACCUGAAACCUUGUGCUUACAAGCAGUCGGAGCAGACUUGUUCUGUGACGGCGUACCUUUUGUAUAAUGGGUCAACGACUUAAUUUCAGUAGCAAGCUUAACCAUAUAGGGUAGGCGUAGGGAAACCGAGUCUUAAUAGGGCGCUCAGUUGCUGGAAUUAGACCCGAAACCGGGUGAUCUAUCCAUGGCCAGUGUGAAGGUCGAGUAACAUCGACUGGAGGCGCGAACCCACUUAUGUUGAAAAAUGAGGGGAUGAGCUGUGGAUAGGAGUGAAAGGCUAAUCAAACCCGGAGAUAGCUGGUUCUCUUCGAAAACUAUUUAGGUAGUGCCUCGUGUAUUACUGUAGGGGGUAGAGCACUGUUUCGGCUAGGGGGUCAUCCCGACUUACCAAACCGAUGCAAACUCCGAAUACCUACAAGUAUGAGCACGGGAGACAGACUGCGGGUGCUAACGUCCGUAGUCGAGAGGGAAACAACCCAGACUGUCAGCUAAGGUCCCUAAUUAUGAUUAAGUGGGAAACAAUGUGGGAAGGCACAAACAGCUAGGAAGUUGGCUUAGAAGCAGCCAUCUUUUAAAGAAAGCGUAAUAGCUCACUAGUCGAGUCGGCCUGCGUGGAAGAUAUAACGGGGCUAAAUCAUAAACCGAAGCUACAGAUCUUAAAUUUAUUUAAGAUGGUAGAAGAGCGUUCUGUAAGCGGAUGAAGGUGAGCUGAGAGGCGAGCUGGACGUAUCAGAAGUGCGAAUGUUGACAUGAGUAACGAUCAAAGAGGUGAAAAACCUCUUCGCCGAAAAACCAAGGGUUCCUGUCCAACGCUAAUCGUGGCAGGGUGAGGCGGCCCCUAAGGCGAGGGCGAAAGCCGUAGUCGAUGGGAAACAGGUUAAUAUUCCUGUACUUUUUAUAACUGCGAUGGGGUGACGGAGAAGGUUAGGCUAGCACGGCGACGGUUGUCCGUGUUCAAGGUUGUAGGCUGGUGUUCUAGGUAAAUCCGGAACGCCAUAUAGGCUGAGGACUGAUAACGACCACUCUACGAGUGGGAAGUAGCUGAUACCAUGCUUCCAGGAAAAACCUCUAAGCUUCAGGUUAUAAGAAACCGUACCCUAAACCGACACAGGUGGUUAGGUCGAGUAGACCAAGGUGUUUGAGAGAACUAUGGUGAAGGAACUAGGCAAAAUAGCACCGUAACUUCGGGAGAAGGUGUGCCUUACUGGUGAUGUGAUUUACUCACUAAGCUAAGUAAGGUUGCAGUGAAAUGGUGGCUGCGACUGUUUAUUAAAAACACAGCACUCUGCAAACUCGCAAGAGGACGUAUAGGGUGUGACGCCUGCCCGGUGCCGGAAGGUUAAUUGAUGGGGUUAGCUUCGGCGAAGCUCUUGAUCGAAGCCCCGGUAAACGGCGGCCGUAACUAUAACGGUCCUAAGGUAGCGAAAUUCCUUGUCGGGU